This 2879-nucleotide ribosomal RNA is filed under the name Paraburkholderia sp. FT54. Its description in RNAcentral is "23S ribosomal RNA". It matches the Rfam family "Bacterial large subunit ribosomal RNA". The record is from RNAcentral. Lineage: Bacteria; Pseudomonadati; Pseudomonadota; Betaproteobacteria; Burkholderiales; Burkholderiaceae.
GGUCAAGCGAACAAGUGCAUGUGGUGGAUGCCUUGGCGAUCACAGGCGAUGAAGGACGCGGUAGCCUGCGAAAAGCGGUGGGGAGCUGGCAAACGAGCUUUGAUCCACCGAUAUCCGAAUGGGGAAACCCGGCCCGUAUGGGUCAUCCAUGACUGAAUCCAUAGGUCAUGUGAAGCGAACGCGGUGAACUGAAACAUCUAAGUAACCGCAGGAAAAGAAAUCAACCGAGAUUCCCAGAGUAGUGGCGAGCGAAAUGGGACCAGCCUGUACUCUUUAUCUUCAUUGUUAGUCGAAGGCUCUGGAAAGUGCCGCCAUAGCAGGUGAUAGCCCUGUAGACGAAAACAGCGAGGAAGAACUAGGUGUACGGAAAGUAGGGCGGGACACGUGAAAUCCUGUCUGAAGAUGGGGGGACCAUCCUCCAAGGCUAAAUACUCGUGAUCGACCGAUAGUGAACCAGUACCGUGAGGGAAAGGCGAAAAGAACCCCGGGAGGGGAGUGAAACAGAUCCUGAAACCGCAUGCAUACAAACAGUCGGAGCCUCGCAAGGGGUGACGGCGUACCUUUUGUAUAAUGGGUCAGCGACUUACAUUCAGUGGCAAGCUUAACCGAUUAGGGCAGGCGUAGCGAAAGCGAGUCCGAACAGGGCGUUCAGUCGCUGGGUGUAGACCCGAAACCAGGUGAUCUAUCCAUGGCCAGGAUGAAGGUGCGGUAACACGUACUGGAGGUCCGAACCCACUAACGUUGAAAAGUUAGGGGAUGAGCUGUGGAUAGGGGUGAAAGGCUAAACAAACCUGGAAAUAGCUGGUUCUCUCCGAAAACUAUUUAGGUAGUGCCUCGUGUAUCACCUUCGGGGGUAGAGCACUGUCAUGGUUGUGGGGUCCAUUGCGGAUUACUACGCCAUAGCAAACUCCGAAUACCGAAGAGUGCAAUCACGGGAGACAGACAUCGGGUGCUAACGUCCGGUGUCAAGAGGGAAACAACCCAGACCGCCAGCUAAGGUCCCCAAAUAUUGCUAAGUGGGAAACGAAGUGGGAAGGCUAAAACAGUCAGGAGGUUGGCUUAGAAGCAGCCAUCCUUUAAAGAAAGCGUAAUAGCUCACUGAUCGAGUCGUCCUGCGCGGAAGAUGUAACGGGGCUAAGCAAUAUACCGAAGCUGCGGAUGCACAUUUAUGUGCAUGGUAGGAGAGCGUUCCGUAAGCCUGCGAAGGUGCACUGGAAAGUGUGCUGGAGGUAUCGGAAGUGCGAAUGCUGACAUGAGUAGCGAUAAAGGGGGUGAAAGGCCCCCUCGCCGUAAGCCCAAGGUUUCCUACGCAACGUUCAUCGGCGUAGGGUGAGUCGGCCCCUAAGGCGAGGCAGAAAUGCGUAGCUGAUGGGAAGCAGGUUAAUAUUCCUGCACCAUUGUUGAAUGCGAUGGGGGGACGGAUCGCGGAAGGUUGUCCGGGUGUUGGAAGUCCCGGUCCUUGCAUUGGAGAAGGCGCUUUGGCAAAUCCGGGCGCGGAAUUCAAGGGUGCGAGGCCAGUCGCUCAGGCGACGAAGCAAUCGGAAGUGGUUCCAGGAAAAGCCUCUAAGCUUCAGUUCAACAAGACCGUACCGCAAACCGACACAGGUGGGCGAGAUGAGUAUUCUAAGGCGCUUGAGAGAACUCGGGAGAAGGAACUCGGCAAAUUGGUACCGUAACUUCGGGAUAAGGUACGCCCCUGUAGCCUGACUGGCCUGCGCCAGAAGGGUGAAGGGGUUGCAAUAAACUGGUGGCUGCGACUGUUUAAUAAAAACACAGCACUCUGCAAACACGAAAGUGGACGUAUAGGGUGUGACGCCUGCCCGGUGCCGGAAGAUUAAAUGAUGGGGUGCAAGCUCUUGAUUGAAGUCCCGGUAAACGGCGGCCGUAACUAUAACGGUCCUAAGGUAGCGAAAUUCCUUGUCGGGUAAGUUCCGACCUGCACGAAUGGCGUAACGAUGGCCACACUGUCUCCUCCCGAGACUCAGCGAAGUUGAAGUGUUUGUGAUGAUGCAAUCUCCCCGCGGCUAGACGGAAAGACCCCAUGAACCUUUACUGUAGCUUUGCAUUGGACUUUGAACCGGUCUGUGUAGGAUAGGUGGGAGGCUUUGAAGCGUGGACGCCAGUCUGCGUGGAGCCAUCCUUGAAAUACCACCCUGGUUUGUUUGAGGUUCUAACCUUGGUCCGUGAUCCGGAUCGGGGACAGUGCAUGGUAGGCAGUUUGACUGGGGCGGUCUCCUCCCAAAGUGUAACGGAGGAGUACGAAGGUACGCUAGGUACGGUCGGAAAUCGUGCUGAUAGUGCAAUGGCAUAAGCGUGCUUAACUGCGAGACCGACAAGUCGAGCAGGUGCGAAAGCAGGUCAUAGUGAUCCGGUGGUUCUGUAUGGAAGGGCCAUCGCUCAACGGAUAAAAGGUACUCUGGGGAUAACAGGCUGAUACCGCCCAAGAGUUCAUAUCGACGGCGGUGUUUGGCACCUCGAUGUCGGCUCAUCUCAUCCUGGGGCUGUAGCCGGUCCCAAGGGUAUGGCUGUUCGCCAUUUAAAGAGGUACGUGAGCUGGGUUUAAAACGUCGUGAGACAGUUUGGUCCCUAUCUGCCGUGGGCGCUGGAUAUUUGAAGGGGGCUGCUCCUAGUACGAGAGGACCGGAGUGGACGAACCUCUGGUGUACCGGUUGUCACGCCAGUGGCAUCGCCGGGUAGCUAUGUUCGGAAGAGAUAACCGCUGAAAGCAUCUAAGCGGGAAACUCGCCUUAAGAUGAGAUAUCCCCGGGGCUUCGAGCCCCUUGAAGGGUCGUUCAAGACCAGGACGUUGAUAGGUCAGGUGUGGAAGCGCAGUAAUGCGUUAAGCUAACUGAUACUAAUUGCCCGUAAGGCUUGAUCCU